Labrus mixtus (cuckoo wrasse) is the source of this 4774-nucleotide RNA transcript. It is a transcript of the gene named actin-binding LIM protein 3-like, with no coding region annotated. The transcript is spliced from 21 exons. Lineage: Eukaryota; Metazoa; Chordata; Actinopteri; Labriformes; Labridae. The record is from RefSeq and is a predicted model, not a curated record.
CCAUCUCAAACUCUCCAGGCAGCAUAUACCGCCACGGAGCGCACAGGCGUGUUGGCGUCCACUGGAGCGCACUGACUGUUUAGGGCGGGAUGGACCCUGAAUCAGAGGACCGCUGAGGCUUGUUGGCUAGAAGAGGUGGAAGCUGAAGGCGUGUGGAGGAGGAGGAGGAGCAGGAGGAUGGUACCAGUCAGUGGCGAUUUAAUUCCGGCUGAAGCGGCUGUCUUUACUAGGGGUGGAGGGGUACAGUAGUCCACCGCCUGGCAGUAUAAUCCGCUUGCGGGGAGGAGCAGGGAAAGCCCUUUUCAGACUGACACAGACAAAGGGAGGGAGAGUUUAAAGUCGCACUGGACCACAGAGGAAUGUUUAGUCAUAUCUGGAUCAUUUCUCCUGCUGCUGACUGAUACAAACUCUGAGUGUUCAAGCUGCUGGACUUCUACAUCACAUCAUGAGUGGACCGACAAAUGUUCAGUACCAUUCAGGUCUCUAUGGAGGAAACAACAACAACAGCAGCUCUCCUCUCUCCAGCCGGGGAAAUUCGCCCAUCGUAUGUGAGCGCUGUGGGGAGGUUUGUCGUGGGGAGGUGGUGCGUGUCAAAAGUACGCACUUCCAUGUUCACUGCUUCACCUGCCAAGUGUGCGGUUGUGAUCUGGCCCACUCGGGGUUCUUCCACCACUCUGGCGAGUACAUCUGCACAGAGGACUACCAGCGGCUCUACGGGACGCAGUGUGACAGCUGUGAGCAGUACAUCACUGGAGAGGUGGUGUCUGCACUGGGGAGGACGUACCACCGACACUGCUUCGUCUGCAGCAUCUGCAGGAGUCCGUUCCCGAUUGGAGACAGGGUGACCUUCUGUGGGAAGAAGUGUGUGUGUCAGCAGUGCUCACACACUCUGAGCAGCGACAAGCCCGUCAAGGUCCAUGGACCAAGCUACUGUGCAGGCUGUGGUGAGGAGAUCAAACAGGGUCAGUCUCUGCUGGCUCUGGAGCGUCAGUGGCACGUCAGCUGUUUUAAAUGCCGAACAUGUGGCUGCACACUCACCGGAGAGUACAUCAGCAAGGAUGGGACACCGUACUGUGAGACAGAUUACCACUCCCAGUUUGGGAUACGGUGUGACAGCUGCAACAGGUACAUCAGUGGCAGAGUACUUGAGGCUGGAGGAAAGCGCUACCACCCCAGCUGUGCUACGUGUGCCCGCUGCCACAUGAUGUUCCUUGAAGGAGAGGAAAUGUACCUUACAGGUUCAGAGGUCUGGCACCCCAUGUGUAAAGAAGCAGCUCGGCUGGAGAGGAAACUGAGGAUAAGACGAACCUCUGAGACGGCGUCCAUUUCUCCUCCAAACUCUUCUCCUCUGCUUGGCUCCCCUCACCGACUCAUUUGCUCUAAGGCUGACAGUGAUGUGUCAAAUUACAAGCAGCUGGCAGCUCUGCCCAGGAUCAAAGCCAUUUAUGACAUCCAGCGGCCCGACAUCAUCCCUUAUCAGGCAGACCAUGCACAUACCCACUUCUCAGACGACACUGUGGAGCAAUACAACUGUGGACGGUCAUUGGGCUCUUUGUCGCCAUACUCUCAUGAUCUCUUGGACGGGGUUGAGUUAAGAACGAGGCGUUCAUCCAGCUCCGCCUUCACUGACUCUCCUGCACACAGUCACCACGGAGGCUCCCCACUGCAUUGUUAUCUUCCUGCAUCUGAGAGAACCAACAUCUAUAGGAAAGCCCCCAUCUAUAAGAGACCAGACGUAUCCGCCUCUCCAAUAGCCAAUAAGAGUAAGACCAAUGAGAACCUCCUUAAUUCCAGCCGCCUUUCCUCCUCCAAUUGUAACAGCCUUUAUCACUCGGACUCCAACUACUUCCCGUAUACCGGCUCUCCUAAAGUCUCCAGGGUGAGAAGGUUUUCAUCUGGAGGAGAGGAGGAUGGAUGGAAUCACAACAUAAACAAGGGAAUUGGCAGAAUGAUCCUGAAGGAGGAGAUGAAGGCGCGGUCAGGUUGUUAUGACAAUGACCUGUGGGGGAGCAGACGCAGUUCUCGCUGCAGCAGCAGGGAGGCGCUGAACAAUCUGGGAUUCACCUCCCUCAACGGCUCUCCCAGGUCGCUCCACAGUGCAGACAGUGACUCAUACAUUGCCAAAUCGUCCUCGUUGCCAGGCUACGGCAAAAAUGGAAUAACCAGGCCUGGGAGUGCGGGUGCAGAUUAUUACCAGUAUGACAGCGACAACGCAGUUAAUUGGCAGAUCAGAGAAUACAAGGUAAGAUACCAGAGAGCUGUUACUGAGCCAAGGCUAAAAGGUCUGGAUGAAUGGAUUAUAGAUUAUGAUGUGUUGCCUGUUUCAAGUUCCUAUUGAAUGGUGAAUUCAUAUCACUCAGUAACACCCACAGCGUUCAGUGAAAGUUGUGAAUCUGUCUGACUCAUUGGCAUUGACAGCAAAGUGUAAGAACCAAACAGACACAGAGGGUAAUAGCACACUGUUUGUGAAAUUGAGGGCGACGAGACCAAUCCCUUCUGGGUAGAAAAACCUGAUGGGAAAAUGUUGAUAUUUUAUCAGUAGUCUGAGUUAUUUAAAGGGCAAAGUUAUAACGCCCCAUUUAAUGCUGUACUAACAAUGUAUUUCUUAUACGCCUUCAUAUUUUUCUUUCUCCCAUUUUACAUGUAACUUUACAUCAAAGAGUCAAAUCCAUUAAAUCCAUCAAGCUGUGUUUGUAGCAAUCCCAGAAAUGUUGUUAUACGUCCCUCACAACCCAUCUUUUCAUGGGUUCUAAGAAAUGUAUCAGCAGCUACUGUAAGCUGCAAGCUUAGCCUUAGCCGUUGCCGUGGUAAUGGUGUUAAUGCUAUUUUGGCCACUUGAGGGUGACAGAGGAACUUCAGCAUUUCCGUCACCUUAUCAGCCAUAUUAGGCAACUGAACCUUUUAGUAAACAAUGUGAAAGACAUAAUCUGUGACACACACUUGCAAGAGAAUCCGAAUCUGCCUGAUUUAUAGUUUCUGAGGGAACAUGUCUGAGUUGUUGUUGUUUGUGUGUGUGUGUGUGUGUGUGUUAGAUCUACCCAUAUGAGGCUCUAAUUGUGUCAAUCAGAAAGAAGCAGCGUCUCCCAAGUGAUGUCGACCGAGCCAGACUGGAGCGUCAUCUCUCACCAGAGGAGUUCUGCAGAGUUUUUGGCAUGUCCAUGGCUGCCUUUGAUCAUCUUGCUCAGUGGAAGAAGAACGAACUGAAGAAACAGGUUCGACUCUUUUGAAAAACUUAAGUCAAAAGAGGUGCUUUACCCAAUGCAAGUCCACUUCCAGCCAGCAGUGCUCUCUGAAAAGAAGCCUCCAAAAAAGCCUGAUGACCCAAGAUUGACUUUCUGUCUCUGAGGAACUGGCUUAAGUCAAGGUUUUUCCUCCUUUGGGUUGAAAAGAGUGGAACUGUUGGCAUCCUUAACUUAAGAAGCUUUAACUUAUGCAUACUUGGACCCCAUAGCAAUAUGUAAGGAGAGAGCCAACAGGCUAGACGGAAAAACGUCUGACUUAAGAGCAAGGAGACCUGAGAGGGGAUAAGUUAGACUUCUUGAGAGAGCAGAUGAAGAAUACUGGAGCUGGAACAGAACGAGGAUUGAUGAGGAGAGGGAGUGGUUGGCUGAUUCUCCAUCUCCAACCAGCAGAUGGCAUUGUGUUUGCAGGAGCAUUAGCAGAGCAGGUAGAGUGUUAGCUGAAGGACUUGGUACCAGAUUGAUGGUCUGCUACAAUGAGUCAAACACCAAUUUACGCCCAAAGUGACGGAGGUUGAUUUGGAAAGCAUCUUUGCUGCCUGAAAGACCGACUGAUAUGUUGCUGAUGACAAAAAUAACCCAAGCUGUGUGGACAACUGUGUGGUCCUCAACAUUAGGGGUUUGGACAUGACAUACAUGUAGUGUUUUAUAAUGUAUUGAUUCUAAAAUUCAAUGUUUUGAAUUACAAAAAAGUUUUUCUUUUGUAAUACAGGCAUGUGUUUGAUUGUAAUGUCAGUUUUUCUGGAGCCAUAUCAGUGUUUUUGGUUCUUCUUUAUGAUCUGGGCUGAAUGUAAGGUCACUGAAGUGGUCUUUGAAAUAUGAUUAGUCAUGGCUCUGAACUCAGAAAUGUUAUAGUUAAGUUUAGAAAUCACGUUUGAACACUUUACAAUAUUUGUGUUUCCCUUGUCCCUUUAAUGAAAUCAUAGUUUUGUUAAUUUAUACCUUCAGCUGCACUCAUGAAGGUGCUGGAUUAUGUUUAUGCAAAAUGAAACUGUGUGUGUCUGUGCGUAAUUACAGCAAAUUUAAGAUAGAGGGUUUUAAUGGAUUUGUAUUCAUAAACCCUCAAAAGAACGAUUAGGUUAAGACAGGAAUGAGGGAGAUUUAAAUAAAAAAAGGGAAUAGAGAAAAGGAAGCUAAAAGGGAAGGAAUGUGUGAAGAAGGGACGACAAAGCCAAUGUAAAAUAAACUUGUACUUGCUCUUGUAAAGAACUCCCUCAGAUACGUUAAUCAAGAGUUGACUUGUUUCUAAAGGAAAGUGUUCAACAUCUAUCAGGAAAUAGCACAAGUCUGGGCUUGAAGGGAUUUAACUACUCGUGUUUUUUACCUGAAUGUACAAGAUGGAAUAUUGUUUCCUGCUGCUGCGAAAACUGGUACCACCAGGUGUGUAUGUGUUUACAGGUCUUAAUUUAAAACAUUUAUAGUAUGCAAGCCCAUGUCAGCCAAGACAUCUCCUGAAUAAAUGAUUCAGGCAUCACUGUUUAUUUUGUAUUGUCCUUGUUCAUAUCAUUAAAGAGUGCAACUCAUGAUGAUAGCUG